AGUAACGCGUGGAUAACCUGCCUCACACUGGGGGAUAACAGUUAGAAAUGACUGCUAAUAUCGCAUAAGCGCACAGUACCGCAUGGUACAGUGUGAAAAACUCCGGUGGUGUGAGAUGGAUCCGCGUCUGAUUAGCCAGUUGGCGGGGUAACGGCCCACCAAAGCGACGAUCAGUAGCCGACCUGAGAGGGUGACCGGCCACAUUGGGACUGAGACACGGCCCAA
This 225-nucleotide ribosomal RNA is filed under the name uncultured bacterium. RNAcentral describes it as "partial 16S ribosomal RNA". It matches the Rfam family "Bacterial small subunit ribosomal RNA", at positions 109 to 334 of the family's 1533-position model. The record is from RNAcentral.